UACGAAGGGUGCAAGCGUUACUCGGAAUUACUGGGCGUAAAGGGUGCGUAGGUGGUUUUUUAAGUCUGCUGUGAAAUCCCCGGGCUCAACCUGGGAAUGGCAGUGGAUACUGGAAAGCUGGAGUGCGGUAGAGGGUAGUGGAAUUCCCGGUGUAGCAGUGAAAUGCGUAGAGAUCGGGAGGAACACCAGUGGCGAAGGCGGCUACCUGGACCAGCACUGACACUGAGGCACGAAAGCGUGGGGAGCAAAC
This 250-nucleotide ribosomal RNA is filed under the name uncultured bacterium. Its description in RNAcentral is "partial 16S ribosomal RNA". It matches the Rfam family "Bacterial small subunit ribosomal RNA", at positions 524 to 773 of the family's 1533-position model. The record is from RNAcentral.